AUUGAACGCUGGCGGCAUGCUUUACACAUGCAAGUCGAACGGUAACAGGGAGCUUGCUCCGCUGACGAGUGGCGAACGGGUGAGUAAUGCAUCGGAACGUACCCAGUCGUGGGGGAUAACGUAGCGAAAGUUACGCUAAUACCGCAUACGUCCUGAGGGAGAAAGCGGGGGACCGUAAGGCCUCGCGCGAUUGGAGCGGCCGAUGUCGGAUUAGCUAGUUGGUAGGGUAAAGGCCUACCAAGGCGACGAUCCGUAGCGGGUCUGAGAGGAUGAUCCGCCACACUGGGACUGAGACACGGCCCAGACUCCUACGGGAGGCAGCAGUGGGGAAUUUUGGACAAUGGGCGAAAGCCUGAUCCAGCCAUGCCGCGUGAGUGAAGAAGGCCUUCGGUGUAAGCUCUUCAGCCGGAAAGAAAUACGCGCAGGAUAAUACUACUGCGUGGAUGACGGUACCGG
RNAcentral lists this ribosomal RNA (456 nucleotides) under uncultured bacterium. RNAcentral's name for it is "bacterial SSU rRNA". It matches the Rfam family "Bacterial small subunit ribosomal RNA", at positions 29 to 481 of the family's 1533-position model. The record is from RNAcentral.